This is a non-coding RNA of Monodelphis domestica (gray short-tailed opossum), 3972 nucleotides long. The record is from RefSeq and is a predicted model, not a curated record. Lineage: Eukaryota; Metazoa; Chordata; Mammalia; Didelphimorphia; Didelphidae.
UGCUUCUCCCGCCCUCACUCAGAGGCGCGCGCGUGCACGCCUACGCAUCCCGUUCCCCGCCCUUCGGCCCCGGGCCGCCCCGAAAACCCGGUGGGGAACACGCGCUGCCACAGCCUCCACACAACGAGCCCGAACCGGAGCCGGACUCCUCCCGGCCGGCCUACCACCCGGCCCCUCCCUUUCACUACCAGCCCCGUGCCCUGGCGGAACAGAAAACCCGGGUCGGAGCGCGCCUCGAGGUCACCUUCCUGCCCCUCCCACCACCUCAGGACCGACUGGGGGAGAUCUUGAUUAUCUUAAACUAGUUAUCCCCCGGGAAUCUCAACUCAAAUGGCCCAAAUUCAUGAUCUCCCUCUUCCCUCCCACAAAACCCCACCCCUUUUCUGAACUGUCUCAUUACUGUCUAAACCUCGGAGCAUCCUCGACUUGUCACUCUCAGGCGUCCCACAUGGCCAGACAAGAUCCAAGCCUCCAUCUCCUAGGAACCUUCUUGGAUCCCCCAACCACCUUCAGAGCUGCUGGAGCCUUCCUCGCAAAUUAACCAGAGAUAAUCGUAAGGUCAUAUUACCUGAUGGGCAAUAUCUGUAAAUGGCUACUCUUCAUGGUUUGGAGCUGGAAAGGGCCAUGGAGUCCAACCCACUCAUCUUACAGAUGAAGAGACUGAGGUCCAUGGAAGGCAAGUGACUUAAAAUCAUGGAUCUAGAGACAAAAAGGAUCUCUGAGGUUACUUAGUUCAACCCACUUAUUUUACAGAUGAGAAGUCUGAGGCUAAGGGAGAAAAUGUGACUUCUCACUUAGCACACAUUUGUUCAAGGUCUCCCAGCCAGCAUUGUCAAAGAUAGAACUUGGACUCAUGACUUCCUCAUCCCAAGCCUAGAACUCUAUUCACUCCUCCUUUUAGCUGCCUCUGUAGUUCAUAAUGCAAAAGAAUAAUCACUUACACUUAUACAUAACUUCAUAAUUUAUAGUCCUGUGACACAGAUGGUAAUACAGACAUUCUCAUCCCCCUUUUACAGAUGAGAAAACUGAGGUAAAGACCACACAAUGGCAGAGCAGAGACUCAAAGCUAUCUUGUGUGGCACUAAAACCAGUCAGUGCUCUUCAUAGUCCAUCAUUCUAACUCCAGUGCUUGCUCAACAAGCAAGCAGAGGGUGAGAGGAAAUAGGAAGGGCCCAAACAGCCAGAACAGCAAACUUAUCAUAUUUUCAAAAGUAGCUCAGUUUUUGUCCCACAUAUGCCUUUGUCCCACUUUGUGGUUAAUAAUGUCAUUGGGCCAGUCAAUGUACUGACCAGGUUACGGGUAAUAUUGAACUCUGUACUAGAUGGAACAAGCAUUGAUUGCACUUAUAACACAAGAUAGAAGGACUGCCAAAAGGAUAGAAUCAGUUUUGUUUACUGACCUCUUUCCUUCCUUUGUUUUUUUUCUCUUUCCUGUUAGAUCAGGGGUUCUUAACCUUGUUUAUGCCAUAGAUGCUUUAGGCAGUCAGGCUGAUGAAGCCAAGGGACCUUUGGGAAUACUGGUUUUCAAUCCAUAAAGUAUACAGGAUUAUAAAGGGAGCCAAUUAGAGUGAAAUAUAGUUAAAAUAUUUUUCAAAACAAGCUUGCAAACCCCAGAGAUUAAGAACCCCUGUGCUAGAGGGUCCCAGAAAAGACAAACCAAAGAAAAAGAUGCUGUUGAAACAUAUUUUUAGUCAUCCCUGCAGAUCUUUCAUCUGAAGAUUUCAAAGUGUUUUUGCCAUGAGUAAUUACUAUCUUGUUUUUAAAGAUGGGAAGGGAGAGGCACCUCCAAAUUAAGUGGCUUGCUCUCAAUCACAUGGCCAGCCAGUGGCUAGGCUACCCUUAGAACAAAGCUGCUCUCUUCACCAGGGAUGCUCUAACUAGGCCACAUUCUGGGAAACUGGAAGCUUCAAUAAUUAGGCUAAGAGUUUGGGGAACAAGAGGUUUUGGUCCCUAACUUUGUGUUGUAGCUUUUUUCCCCUUUAGGAUAUGAAAAACUCUACCUCCUGAUAAUCAAUCAGUUCUUGCUAAGCAGCUAUGCCUCACUUAUGUGUAUUUCUAUUUUUCAAUGUGUCUUUACCCAUGCAAAUAUAAAGCUUCUUUAGAACCCUGCCUGCCCCAGUUCUUCAUCCAACACAUUCCCUCCUCCUCCUCUAGCUUUCACAGUCUGUCAGGGCAGAGCAGAGCUGAAGCAGUUCUUACUGAGCUGCAAAAGAGUUUGUUCUAUGGUCUAAACUCUAACUAGUGUUCCCAGAGCUUUAGCAAAUGGAUAUCACCUGUGCUCACUUCACCAAGGUAGGACAUAGAAAUUCUGUGUUCAGUGACAACCUCCUAAACUUACCUAUUUCUAUUGAAGACUUCAUUGCUCUUCCAGGCUCUCAGGUUCAUAAUGUUGAGAUCAUUCUCAAUUCCUUGCCUUUAUCUAACAUAGUCAAUCAGUUGCCAGAUCUUACUGUUUUUGGCUCUAAAGCAUCCCUCAAUGUUUAUACCCCUACUACUACUCCUAUAGACCUCCUCUCUACUCAUACUACUGCCACCCCAGAUCAGUCUCUCUUUGCCUCCCACCAGGGCUAUUGCAAUGGUUGGUCUCCUUGUUAGUCUGCCUGCCACAUAUUUCCUCCCACUGAAAUACAUCUUUCACCCAACCACUAAAGUGACAUUCCCAAAAUGCAGGUCUCCUCAUGUCACAAUCUUACUCACUAAACUCUAGUGGCAUUCUACUUCUAAGAUAAAAUCUAAGAUUUUUUUUUUGUCAAAAGAAGGUCCCAACAUACCUUUCCAUCCUUAUUGCACAUGACUCCUCUCCACCCACCCCAAGGCAUGGCUAAACUAACCUCCUUGCUGUCACACCUCAUCCAUGUAAUUCCAUCUCUUGCCUUUGUGCAUUUUCUCUGAUAGUCACCCAUGCUUCCAAUGUAUUCUCUCCUCACCUCUAUGUUUCAAAAUCCCUGGUUUUCUUACAAACUCACCUUCCAUGAGGUCUUUUGGGCAUCUCUAGCUAUCAGCAUUUCCCCUCAAAUCACCUUGUAUCUAUUUUGUAUAUACUUACAUAUGUCUACGUAAUCUCCUCUGCUAGAAUGAAAGCUCCUUUUUUUUUUUUACAUUUGUCUUUUAUCCUCAGCACUUGGCAGCUAGAGGUGCAGUGGAUAGAGCCCUGGGCCUGGAGUCAAAAAGACUUGAGUUCAAAUUCAGUUUUAAGACACAUAAGCUUUAUGAUCUUGAGCAAGUCACAACCUUAUUUACCUCAUUUUCCUCUUCUGUGAAAUGAGCUGGGAAAGGAGAUGGCAAGCCACUCUAGUAUUUUUGCCAAGAAAAUCCAAAAAUGGGAACACAACUGAAAUGACCCCAACUAUCUAGUAUAGUGUCUGUUGAAGGAUCAUUGAGAAUUGUUUAUUGAUUAAUCAAUUAAUUAGUAAACAGUUUCAUGAUUUACCAGAGUCCAAAAAGCUCAUCACUAAGUAAUGAACUCCCUGGUGGUGAGUUCAAGCUGAUCCUCAAUCAAUCUACAAGCAUUUAUUAAAUACCUGUGCUCACCAUGUUCCAAACAAUGUUCUAGACAUUAGACUCCAAAGUCAAAGUAAAGCAAUCCUUGCUUUCAAGGGGUUUGUUCAUGUCCUAUCAAAGGAAAGAAUAUAUCCAUAAGUGUAACUACGUUGUAACUAAAAACAAAUCCAAGAUAGUUUGGAAUGAGAGAGAAUUAGCAAAUAAGGGCAUUCUCAGAUACAUAGUACAUCACUGAGGCCAUAUUGGGAGGCCUUCCAGUUUGAGGGAGUACCCAUUAAGGUUUGUGGUUUUCAAAUUCUGAUGGUUACCUUUCCCACUAAGAUGAAGUAUUUCAGCUGGACUCAGUGAAGGAACUCUUGUUUCCUGGAGAAAUUUUUAUUCUCUGGGCCAGUGAGGGGACAAUCAUGGAGGGGAAUGGUACAUAAAUUCCCUUGCCUCAAGUUGGGAACACUAAGAUCUUGGAAAGGAAUU